CAACAGGGAUUGCCCUAGUAACGGCGAGUGAAGCGGCAACAGCUCAAAUUUGAAACUCUGGCUCUCGGGCCCGAGUUGUAAUUUGUAGAGGAUGCUUUUGGUGCGGUGCCUUCCGAGUUCCCUGGAACGGGACGCCAUAGAGGGUGAGAGCCCCGUCUGGUUGGAUGCCAAUCCUCUGUAAAGCUCCUUCGACGAGUCGAGUAGUUUGGGAAUGCUGCUCUAAAUGGGAGGUAUAUGUCUUCUAAAGCUAAAUACCGGCCAGAGACCGAUAGCGCACAAGUAGAGUGAUCGAAAGAUGAAAAGAACUUUGAAAAGAGAGUUAAAAAGUACGUGAAAUUGUUGAAAGGGAAGCGCUUGUGACCAGACUUGGGCUUGGUUGAUCAUCCAGGGUUCUCCCUGGUGCACUCUUCCGGCUCAGGCCAGCAUCAGUUUGCCUCGGGGGAUAAAGGCUUCGGGAAUGUGGCUCUCUCCGGGGAGUGUUA
RNAcentral lists this unclassified non-coding RNA (482 nucleotides) under Fusarium lichenicola. Its description in RNAcentral is "sequence contains ITS2, 28S rRNA gene". It matches the Rfam family "Eukaryotic large subunit ribosomal RNA", at positions 66 to 558 of the family's 3401-position model. The record is from RNAcentral. Lineage: Eukaryota; Fungi; Ascomycota; Sordariomycetes; Hypocreales; Nectriaceae.